This 58-nucleotide microRNA precursor is filed under the name Limulus polyphemus (Atlantic horseshoe crab). RNAcentral's name for it is "Lpo-Mir-22-P2g_pre stem-loop". The record is from RNAcentral. Lineage: Eukaryota; Metazoa; Arthropoda; Merostomata; Xiphosura; Limulidae.
AGUCCAUCAUCGGGCUGCUGGCUGGUUUGGCUAGGCGAGCUGCCCAGUGAAGGGCUGU